GACAGAGGAGCCAAGCGUUGUCCGGAUUGACUGGGCGUAAAGCGCACGCAGGCGGCUGUGCACGUGGGGUGUGAAAGCUGGCGGCUUAACUGCCAGACGCCACCUCAUACGGCACGGCUCGAGCCCGUGAGAGGUCCACGGAAUUGCCGGUGUAGUGGUGAAAUGCGUAGAGAUCGGGAGGAACACCAGAGGCGAAAGCGGCGACCUGGACAGGUACUGACACUCAACUACGAAAGCGUGGGGAGCAAACAGG
RNAcentral lists this ribosomal RNA (253 nucleotides) under uncultured bacterium. RNAcentral describes it as "partial 16S ribosomal RNA". It matches the Rfam family "Bacterial small subunit ribosomal RNA", at positions 524 to 776 of the family's 1533-position model. The record is from RNAcentral.